Molecule: non-coding RNA, 95 nt
Filed under: uncultured Aggregatibacter sp.
Lineage: Bacteria; Pseudomonadati; Pseudomonadota; Gammaproteobacteria; Pasteurellales; Pasteurellaceae
Source: RNAcentral
UGCGGUCACAAAAUACAACGGAUUUUGAGCGUUGGUUUUGUCAAAGGCGCCAUUAAAGCAAAUAACCGAACUCAAUUCGAUUGUGAGUAAUUUCU